AUACGUAGGGGGCGAGCGUUGUCCGGAAUGAUUGGGCGUAAAGGGCGCGUAGGCGGCCUGUUAAGUCUGGAGUGAAAGUCCUGUUUUCAAGAUGGGAAUUGCUUUGGAUACUGAUGGGCUUGAGUGCAGGAGAGGUUAUCGGAAUUCCCGGUGUAGCGGUGAAAUGCGUAGAGAUCGGGAGGAACACCAGUGGCGAAGGCGGGUAACUGGACUGCAACUGACGCUGAGGCGCGAAAGUGUGGGGAGCAAACAGGAUUAGAUACCCUGGUAGUCCACACUGUAAACGAUGAAUGCUAGGUGUAAGAGGUAUCGACCCCUUUUGUGCCGGAGUUAACACAAUAAGCAUUCCGCCUGGGGAGUACGGCCGCAAGGUUGAAACUCAAAUGAAUUGGCGGG
Molecule: ribosomal RNA, 396 nt
Filed under: uncultured bacterium
Lineage: Bacteria
Description: partial 16S ribosomal RNA
Rfam family: Bacterial small subunit ribosomal RNA
Source: RNAcentral